RNAcentral lists this ribosomal RNA (460 nucleotides) under uncultured bacterium. RNAcentral describes it as "partial 16S ribosomal RNA". It matches the Rfam family "Bacterial small subunit ribosomal RNA", at positions 338 to 795 of the family's 1533-position model. The record is from RNAcentral.
CCUACGGGAGGCAGCAGUGAGGAAUAUUGGUCAAUGGGCUGAAGCCUGAACCAGCCAAGUAGCGUGCAGGAUGACGGCCCUACGGGUUGUAAACUGCUUUUAUCCGGGAAUAACGCGCCUUACGUGUAGGGCUUUGCAUGUACCGUAUGAAUAAGGACUGGCUAAUUCCGUGCCAGCCGCCGCGGUAAUACGGAAGGUCCGGGCGUUAUCCGGAUUUAUUGGGUUUAAAGGGAGCGUAGGCCGCAUGUCAAGCGUGCUGUGAAAUGUGCGGGCUCAAACCGGGCCGUGCAGCGCGAACUGGCGUGCUUGAGUCCGCGGAAAGCAGGCGGAAUUCGUGGUGUAGCGGUGAAAUGCUUAGAUAUGACGAAGAACCCCGAUUGCGAAGGCAGCUUGCUGCAGCGGAACUGACGCUGAUGCUCGAAAGCGCGGGUAUCGAACAGGAUUAGAUACCCGUGUAGUC